GACCUCGGAUCAGGUGGGGAUACCCGCUGAACUUAAGCAUAUCAAUAAGCGGAGGAAAAGAAACCAACAGGGAUUGCCCUAGUAACGGCGAGUGAAGCGGCAACAGCUCAAAUUUGAAAUCUGGUUCCUUUGGGGCCCGAGUUGUAAUUUGCAGAGGGUGCUUUGGCGUCGGCAGCGGUCUAAGUUCCUUGGAACAGGACAUCACAGAGGGUGAGAAUCCCGUACGUGGUCGCCUGCCUUCGCCGUGUAAAGCCCCUUCGACGAGUCGAGUUGUUUGGGAAUGCAGCUCUAAAUGGGAGGUAAAUUUCUUCUAAAGCUAAAUACCGGCCAGAGACCGAUAGCGCACAAGUAGAGUGAUCGAAAGAUGAAAAGCACUUUGGAAAGAGAGUCAAACAGCACGUGAAAUUGUUGAAAGGGAAGCGCUUGCAGCCAG
This 433-nucleotide ribosomal RNA is filed under the name uncultured fungus. RNAcentral's name for it is "eukaryotic LSU rRNA". It matches the Rfam family "Eukaryotic large subunit ribosomal RNA", at positions 1 to 432 of the family's 3401-position model. Lineage: Eukaryota; Fungi. The record is from RNAcentral.